Molecule: small RNA, 336 nt
Filed under: Galerina marginata CBS 339.88
Lineage: Eukaryota; Fungi; Basidiomycota; Agaricomycetes; Agaricales; Galerinaceae
Description: 5' ureB small RNA
Rfam family: 5' ureB small RNA
Source: Rfam by way of RNAcentral
GUGUACCUGUUGCGGACAGAUAUAAUGCACGUGCACGUCAACGGCGCCUGCGGUGACGAUGAGUUUCUCGCCUGCGAUGACUUCGGUAGAAGAGCCAAUGACCAAGGCAGGGUGGACGUUGGCCAUUAUGUCGGGGUUUCCUGCUUUACCGAUACCAACGAUAACACCGUUUUUAACACCGAUGUCUGCCUAUGAGAAGGGGUUAACAAAGUCGAACUUGCCAUGCUUUAUUGCAUACCUUGUAGAUCCCAGACCAAUCGAUGAUAAGGGCGUUGGUGAUAACGAGGUCGAGGGUUUUUUCAGAGGAUCGAUUGGUGGCCUGGCCCAUUCCUUCAC